RNAcentral lists this ribosomal RNA (431 nucleotides) under uncultured bacterium. Its description in RNAcentral is "bacterial SSU rRNA". It matches the Rfam family "Bacterial small subunit ribosomal RNA", at positions 958 to 1392 of the family's 1533-position model. The record is from RNAcentral.
AACGCGAAGAACCUUACCUAGACUUGACAUCCUCUGAAUUACCUGUAAUGAGGGAAGCCCUUCGGGGCAGAGAGACAGGUGGUGCAUGGUUGUCGUCAGCUCGUGUCGUGAGAUGUUGGGUUAAGUCCCGCAACGAGCGCAACCCACGUCUUUAGUUGCCAGCAUUCAGUUGGGCACUCUAGAGAGACCGCCGGUGAUAAACCGGAGGAAGGUGUGGAUGACGUCAAGUCAUCAUGCCCCUUACAUCCUGGGCUACACACGUACUACAAUGCUACGGACAAAGGGCAGCAAGCUCGCGAGAGUUAGCUAAUCCCAUAAACCGUGGCUCAGUUCAGAUCGUAGGCUGCAACUCGCCUACGUGAAGGAGGAAUCGCUAGUAAUCGCAGGUCAGCAUACUGCGGUGAAUACGUUCCCGGGUCUUGUACACACCG